GUUUCCGUAGUGUAGUGGUCAUCACGUUUGCCUCCAAUAUGUAAUAGGUCCCAGUUCAAAACUGGGCGGAAACA
Danionella cerebrum is the source of this 74-nucleotide non-coding RNA. The record is from the annotation of a GenBank genome assembly. Lineage: Eukaryota; Metazoa; Chordata; Actinopteri; Cypriniformes; Danionidae.